AAUGCGCCAUGACGGGAACUCCCUUACUUUUUUAUAGAUGGGGAAACUGAGGCUCUAGAAGCCUGGGCAACUCACCUAAGGCCCACACUAUGAGUGAGUGGUCAGAAAGGGUUAUAACCCAGGACUGUUAUGAUCCUCCAAAUUUUGUUUUGUCAACCAUUCUUCUCUACUGCCUCCGUCUUUAUAACAUGUCCUUCACGUUGCUUGUUUGGUUUGAAUGUCUAUGUGUGUGAUUCCUUUUUCUCAAUAUGAUUUUAAUUAUACAGUUACCUGAAUAAAUACAAUUUGAAUUUGGCAUUAGCUGUAAUGUGGUUUUCCCAUUGGUGAGCAUAAUCACAGAACAUAAUUGACUGCCCAGCCUGUCUCCUUUAGGGACAGAGGGACAGCCCAGUGUGAACUUAUGCUUAACAUUUCUUUACAGGGUCAGCUCCUUGUAUUUGCUCACAUGUACACAAUGAAAUGGCAGAGUCUGAGGGAAUAUAUUGAUUAUCAAAGGAUUCUAGACCAACUUUCUCAUUUUCAGAAGAUAGAAUUGGAAGGCCCAUGAGUUUAAAUAACUUGCAAUAAUAACUCUCAAGAAGGUAAAAUUGUCCCUCACUAGAGGAAAGGCUGUAGAACUUUUAGAAACCUCUCAAUGCACAUAUGGAUUAUAUUUCAUUUUAUGAUAUUCCUAAAUCCAUGUGUUCAUAUAUUCAGUGACACCCUAUAGGCAGCCGCUACUGCCAUCUGUUGGUGAUGAACAGAGCUGGUGCAUAAAAUGGUUCCUUUCCAUGAAAGUUCUUAAGUUAAAACUUCAUUGCAGGAACUUCUGUAUUCAUUAAAAAAAAAAAAAAAAAAAAAGUAAGGCAUGUGGAAUCAGAUAUACCUGGGUUCAAAUCUUGGCUGUGUUUCAUGCAAGAACUGUAACCACUUUCAUCCAUGAUUUUCCAUUUGUAAAGUGGGGAUAAUAUACAGUUCAUAGGGAUGCUGUAAGAAUUAAGAAACAAAUGUGUAUUAAUUUGAGUAAAUGCUAGCCAAAAUCUCAGCAGCUCAACACAGUCUCCUGUUAACAUCGCAGUUACUUGCUCAUGUCAUGGUUCAAAGUGGGUGCUCCAGAUGUGUCACGACCAAGCUACUUCCAUCUUAUGACUCUGCCGUCUUCAACUCUGGCCUCCAAUAUCCACCAGCAAAGAAAGAGGAGAGGGCGUGGAGGUGUAGUCUGGUAGGAGAGGGAAAGAAAACAUUAAUGAUGGGCUGCCAGAUGCAGUGGUCGUAUUGAAUCCUAAAGGAUCCCAAUAGGAAGCCAGUUAUGGUUUUUGUACAGUUAACCCAUGCCACUGGGGAGGAGGCUGAGGCUUGGUGCAGUUCUGCCUCACACCUUGUAACUCCACAACACAGCUGGGACUGAAUCCAGGUUUCCAUUUGUGAUACAAGUGGUUUGUGGCCAAAGAAAGUGCAGAAUGCUUGAUUACGUGCCAUCACCCAUAUUCCCCAGCACCCUGAGAAACAACAAGCUACACAGCGAUGGUAAACAACGCUCCCGAGGAAACCACUUCAAAAAACUCAGGUCAGUGUCCCCAAGAGGACAGUUUUACUGCAAAGCACUGUGUAGAAUAAACAUUGCUUCUAAGCAGAGAAACGCUUAGGAGAUAAGGCUGUCAAGGAAGGGAGGGCACGAGUGCACUGAGAUGAUGGGGCAGAAAAGGCAGGGAUUCCAAGGACUGACAGCCCUGGGUUUCAAUACCAGAUUCAGUUCCAGCUGCGUAGAGUCACUUAGGUUCUCUGCUCCUGUGUCUUUUCCUAUAUCCAAUGGGAGUAAGGUUACAAACCUCUAAGAUUGUUAUGAAUACUGGGUCAGUAUAAAGUGCUGGGCAUGGUGAUUGCCUUUCUGGGAGAUUUAUUCAUUCUGUUCCUGCUAGUUCUACUUAGAACAAAUUAGUGAAUAAGUAUGUGCAGAUUAAAUGCCCUAAAUGAUCAUCUCCUCGUUUCUGUGAGCACACGUGCCCACGGGUGAACAUGGAUGGAUGUGGGGAGUCAUCAGUUCCAAGCCUCUGGCAGCUCUAGAAGCCUCACAUCUCAAGGCUUCCCCACCCUACCCCCAGUUACCGUUCAGAUAAUUUGUGUGAAUUCUCUGAGCUAUGUCAGGUUUAUGAGCAAGUGUUUUCUAAUCCUUUCUAGAAUAACUCAGACAUAAUCUACAGAGAGUCCUCCUUUCCCCGGGGCUUUAAUUUCCUUCACCUUCUUCUCUCAUUUAAUGUUAGUAACAAUGGUAACAGUAACCAUAAUGACAGCUGUCUUUAGUGAGUGCCUGCUAUGUACCAGCCCUGUGCUAGGUCCUUUAAGUAUAUUAGCCUUCCAACAAUUUAGAGAGCUAUGUAUUUUUAUCCACAUAUGGGUUUCUUUUUAUCAGGGACUAUCCCUUAUAAGACAACAUUUCUGAAUUAUCUGGGACUCCCCUAGAAGCAAGGUUUCUGAAGUUUUAGUUCUAUAGGCCAGACGUCCCCUUUGAAGUGAUCGCUUUUGCCACCUGCCAUCAUAGAGACCCCGUAGGCCACAUGGCCUUGUCCAGUGGUAACUUCUCAUUCUGUUGACCCACACUGUAAGGCUAUCCUUCCCACCCCUCCCUGACCCGGGGCGGGGGGGGCAGGGAAACUCUGCUGGUCCAAUCAGAGCCCUUCUUUUAGCCACGUGGGAUCACUUAGUUCUUCAACUUAGUCACUCAUUCUUAGCCCAGAGCUCCUGCGAAAGACUCUUGAAUAUCCUCUUGAGUCUCUCACCUCCUUCCACCAUGCAUUUUCUUUUUUUUUUUUUUAAUUU
This is a non-coding RNA of Sus scrofa (pig), 2796 nucleotides long. Lineage: Eukaryota; Metazoa; Chordata; Mammalia; Artiodactyla; Suidae. The record is from RefSeq and is a predicted model, not a curated record.